ACCCCAGCUCCCUGUACCUCCCUGUCAGGCGUCCUCCCGGGGUCAGGCGCGACCCCGGCCCAUGGAACCUCCCCGUCAAGCGUCCUGCCGGGGUCUUGGCGCCGCGUUAGAAACCCAUUCUUUCGUAGCUCUCAUUGUGGCGUUCGUGUGCAGCCUUGUUCAUUGUGGCCAUUUGCUAAAUUUUCGUGCCCAGAGCGAGUCGCUGCGUGUGAAGAGCCAGUGGCAUCGAUGUUUCCACAGCGAGUCACUGAUCAGCGCGUUGCUGUUGGCAGGUUUAGUUAGGGUGGUCUGUCGAGGAGCUCCCGCCCCCUGCGACUUGUCCACCGGUCUGCGGGGGAGUUGAGCCUGGUUGUAAACCUCCACACGGUGCGGUUCUCAGAGUAAUGUCUGUCUACAAGAAGACGGUAAGAAAAGCGUUUCAGCGAAAUAAUACCUUCUGUUUUAAAAUGUUUGUUAAAAGAAAACGAGAGAGAGAGAGAUGCUUUGGCUUUUUGGUUUUUCCUUUUCAGCUGCAGACCAUCGCAGUCAUUUGAUCAGAGCGGAGGGCAGCCAAAGGCCUCAGUAUCUUGAGGAUCACAACACAAAAAGGCACAGUGUGACUGUUCCCUAUGAGCCGCCCCAGCCGGGCUCAGAGAUCACCACAAUCCUGUUCAACUUCAUGUGCAACAGCUCCUGCAUGGGAGGCAUGAACCGCAGACCCAUCCUCACCACAUCCUGACCCUUGAGACUUCAGACGGACAACUUUUGGGCCGAAGAUGCUUCGAGGUGCGUGUCUGCGCGUGUCCCGGCAGGGAUCGUAAAACAGAGGAGGCAAAUAGUGCCAAACUUCAGACGGGGGCCAAACAAGUGAAGAAAAGAAAAAGUGCCCCAGCAAUAGAUCCUGAUAUGUGCAAAAGGAAGUCUGGCUCAAGCACAGACGAGGAGGAAGUACUUAUGUUGCCAGUUAAAGGCCGUGAGCGCUAUAACAUGUUAAAGAAGAUAAAUGAUGCAUUAGAACUGGCUGAAAAAGAGGCUAAAAACAAAACCAGGGCUUCUAAGGAACUGCUGCCGUCCAGUGGAAAGCGCGUCUUGCAAAAAGCAGAACGAAGCGACAGCGACUAGUUGCAAUCUGCCUUCUUUUAACCGCCAUGUUAUGUUCAGUGUUGCUUCCUGGCCAACAUCCCUCAGCAGGAGGCUGCACGAUCAUCGAGUUCAGAUGAACUGCGCGACCCCAGCCCCCUGUACCUCCCCGUCAGGCGUCCUGCCGGGGUCCGGCGCGACCCCAGCUCCCUGUACCUCCCUGUCAGGCGUCCUCCCGGGGUCAGGCGCGACCCCGGCCCAUGGAACCUCCCCGUCAAGCGUCCUGCCGGGGUCUUGGCGCCGCGUUAGAAACCCAUUCUUUCGUAGCUCUCAUUGUGGCGUUCGUGUGCAGCCUUGUUCAUUGUGGCCAUUUGCUAAAUUUUCGUGCCCAGAGCGAGUCGCUGCGUGUGAAGAGCCAGUGGCAUCGAUGUUUCCACAGCGAGUCACUGAUCAGCGCGUUGCUGUUGGCAGGUUUAGUUAGGGUGGUCUGUCGAGGAGCUCCCGCCCCCUGCGACUUGUCCACCGGUCUGCGGGGGAGUUGAGCCUGGUUGUAAACCUCCACACGGUGCGGUUCUCAGAGUAAUGUCUGUCUACAAGAAGACGGUAAGAAAAGCGUUUCAGCGAAAUAAUACCUUCUGUUUUAAAAUGUUUGUUAAAAGAAAACGAGAGAGAGAGAGAUGCUUUGGCUUUUUGGUUUUUCCUUUUCAGCUGCAGACCAUCGCAGUCAUUUGAUCAGAGCGGAGGGCAGCCAAAGGCCUCAGUAUCUUGAGGAUCACAACACAAAAAGGCACAGUGUGACUGUUCCCUAUGAGCCGCCCCAGCCGGGCUCAGAGAUCACCACAAUCCUGUUCAACUUCAUGUGCAACAGCUCCUGCAUGGGAGGCAUGAACCGCAGACCCAUCCUCACCACAUCCUGACCCUUGAGACUUCAGACGGACAACUUUUGGGCCGAAGAUGCUUCGAGGUGCGUGUCUGCGCGUGUCCCGGCAGGGAUCGUAAAACAGAGGAGGCAAAUAGUGCCAAACUUCAGACGGGGGCCAAACAAGUGAAGAAAAGAAAAAGUGCCCCAGCAAUAGAUCCUGAUAUGUGCAAAAGGAAGUCUGGCUCAAGCACAGACGAGGAGGAAGUACUUAUGUUGCCAGUUAAAGGCCGUGAGCGCUAUAACAUGUUAAAGAAGAUAAAUGAUGCAUUAGAACUGGCUGAAAAAGAGGCUAAAAACAAAACCAGGGCUUCUAAGGAACUGCUGCCGUCCAGUGGAAAGCGCGUCUUGCAAAAAGCAGAACGAAGCGACAGCGACUAGUUGCAAUCUGCCUUCUUUUAACCGCCAUGUACGAGUUAUGUUCAGUGUUGCUUCCUGGCCAACAUCCCUCAGCAGGAGGCUGCACGAUCAUCGAGUUCAGAUGAACUGCGCGACCCCAGCCCCCUGUACCUCCCCGUCCCUCGUCCUGCCGGGGUCCGGCGCGACCCCAGCCCCCUGUACCUCCCCGUCCCGCAUCCUCCCGGGGUCAGGCGCUACCCCAGCCCCCUGUACCUCCACCCGUGCCACAGGCCCACUGAUGAUGAACAUGAUGAUGAUGACGAACAUGAUGAUGAUGAUGAUGAUGAUGAUGAUGCAAGCAGACAGCUGCGUGCAAGGGCUGACCAUUUUAAACGAAAAAUAAAACAGACCAAACAGGCAAAAACAUUUGAUUAAAUGCCAAAAGUUUAUUUAAUAAUAUAAAACAGUUAUGAAAUAAAGGAGUACAAGGCGCA
This is a long non-coding RNA of Betta splendens (Siamese fighting fish), 2811 nucleotides long. RefSeq lists it as uncharacterized. The record is from RefSeq and is a predicted model, not a curated record. NCBI's taxonomy places the organism in Eukaryota, Metazoa, Chordata, Actinopteri, Anabantiformes, Osphronemidae. The transcript is spliced from 13 exons.